UGUAAAUGCUAUUUUCUCAGUUCCUAUUUCUGGAACACCUGAAAAUAGCAUCACAGAUGAAAGUGAGAAUGCAGAAGUGAAGCCCACUUUACUUUGGAGUGCUCUAUAUAUACAGGAAAUGGCUACGUGUUCAUUUGAUUCCAUUUUCUCAACCCCUAUGCCAGAUGGGAAUCUAAACUACAAUGAUCUUCUAGAUGCAACUAAGAAGCUAUUUCAUAUGAUGUUUCCACAUCAUGAAUUCUUUCCUGAGACAGCCUUCACUGAUCCAGAAGAUGAUGGUGGGUUUGAUCAGAGUCCUAGUGAUGAUUCACUGAACUCUUAGCAGUCUGACCGGGCGAUCAAGUCAAAUUGUUAGGUUUUGCUUAUCCACACUGAUUGGCUUGAGAAUUUGGAGGUGCUUGAAUCAGCAGUCCUUUGUGCAUUGAGUGGACAAGAUUGAUGCAUAGAAACAACAAUUUUCAUCUCUUGAACUGUCUUUUCUUUGAGCAUUUGUCUUUCCAAUUCAACACCAUGAAGCAGAAAUAGAAGGAUUGAGCCAAUGUCUUUUAGUUUAGUUGGAUGUUACACUAGUGGCAUGUACCAUAUGUGUCUUAUUAUCUUUAUACACUCUGUGUGAAAUAUUUCGUUGACGAACAAAUACAUAUUUUAGCAUUAUUCAAGUUGUA
Non-coding RNA from Camellia sinensis, 665 nucleotides. Lineage: Eukaryota; Viridiplantae; Streptophyta; Magnoliopsida; Ericales; Theaceae. The record is from RefSeq and is a predicted model, not a curated record.